CUGAAGUCUGGUGCUUGCACUAGACGGAUGAGUUGCGAACGGGUGAGUAACGCGUAGGUAACCUGCCUCAUAGCGGGGGAUAACUAUUGGAAACGAUAGCUAAUACCGCAUAACAGUAUUUACCGCAUGGUAGAUGCUUGAAAGGAGCAACUGCUUCACUAUGAGAUGGACCUGCGUUGUAUUAGCUAGUUGGUGAGGUAACGGCUCACCAAGGCUUCGAUACAUAGCCGACCUGAGAAGGUGAUCGGCCACACUGGGACUGAGACACGGCCCAGACUCCUACGGGAGGCAGCAGUAGGGAAUCUUCGGCAAUGGGGGCAACCCUGACCGAGCAACGCCGCGUGAGUGAAGAAGGUUUUCGGAUCGUAAAGCUCUGUUGUAAGAGAAGAACUGUGAGAAGAGUGGAAAGUUUCUCACUUGACGGUAUCUUACCAGAAAGGGACGGCUAACUACGUGCCAGCAGCCGCGGUAAUACGUAGGUCCCGAGCGUUGUCCGGAUUUAUUGGGCGUAAAGCGAGCGCAGGCGGUUUGAUAAGUCUGAAGUAAAAGGCUGUGGCUUAACCAUAGUACGCUUUGGAAACUGUCAAACUUGAGUGCAGAAGGGGAGAGUGGAAUUCCAUGUGUAGCGGUGAAAUGCGUAGAUAUAUGGAGGGACACCGGUGGCGAAAGCGGCUCUCUGGUCUGUAACUGACGC
This 694-nucleotide ribosomal RNA is filed under the name uncultured bacterium. Its description in RNAcentral is "bacterial SSU rRNA". It matches the Rfam family "Bacterial small subunit ribosomal RNA", at positions 67 to 746 of the family's 1533-position model. The record is from RNAcentral.